CCGGAGGCUGUGACAACGAGCUGAAGCCUGACUGGUACUGACUUCUCUAAGAGGUUUCUUCUAGUAACAGACAGCUCAGACUCUUCCUCGGACUUCAGCAAAGAAGUUAUUUCUAAAAGCACUUGGGAACUUCCUCCUCCACCCCUCAGGCAAGAAGGCUCAGAGAAGAGAGUCGUCCAUACAGCCACCUUCCAGGCCAUACCGGAAUUCCUGAAGGUUAGACACCCCAUAGAAGUGGACGAAAGCUGCUGCCACCACCAGGACGUGGAAAAUCUGAUGAGACUGGAACCAUAUGUCAAAUUUUCCAGGAAAGAAGCGCUCAGGAAUCCGAGCAGCAUAAAGGUCAGCUCCGGUGAUGAACAUCACAGCCAUAAGGAAGAACCAGUCCAUCUGGCCCACUGUGGUGGCCUUGACAAAGCCCUCAUCGAUAUUAAAGUGCAUGGUGGAAGAGGAAAAGUGACUUCCCAAAGUUGACUCUGAUAUGCCCACUCAUGCAUUGGUACUUAUGACACACACACACACCAUUAUAUAAAUAAAUUGAACUAAACUAUCAGUUGAGCAACCAAAGAAGAGUUUCGAGUGCUAUGUAAACCAGUCUUUACCAACAUCUUUGGUUCAUUCAACAAGUACGGACUGAGCAUCUUGUGUAUGUCGCCUGUGGCUUGUGGGCUCUGUGGAUCCCCCAGAGAGCCCAACCCUUACGCACUUUAUUCUAAUAAGAACGAUAAGAGAUAAAGGAAGAAGCAUUACAUCCAUUGUAAAAAAAAAAAAAAAAAUCUCUGGGGAUCAAAAAGCAAAGACGAAGAAAAGAGAACGGGUUUGGUGUAAAGAACAGCAGGUUAUGUUCCAAAGGAAACUGGGGAGAGUUUCACUGCUGUAAUCUCUAAGCAGAGAACUAAAGGUGGGCCUUGCCUGAUCAGUUGAAGGCUCAGAGGCAAACACCGAGGACUCCUAAGAAGGAAGGAAUUCUAAGACAUCAACAGGGAAACCUGCCUGAGUUUUCAUCCUCUUGCCGUUCAAGGCUAGAUUACAGCACCUGCAUGUUACAAGAUUUCUGAAGACUACUGUUGCUCACACUCAAGAGGGAGCUAUUAGCUUCCAGCAAGUAGAGACAAGACUCCAACAGAGUCACCUGACCACAAAUGUCACCAGUCCCCAGUAAAGAAACACUGUCUUCUGCAUUCUGUAGGAAAUAUGCAAGAAAGAAAGACUUCCAAUAAUAGUCCUUGUCUGGAUUCAUGGAUAUGUCAAUGCCAAAUAAAGACUU
Long non-coding RNA from Mastomys coucha (southern multimammate mouse), 1267 nucleotides. RefSeq lists it as uncharacterized. The transcript has 3 exons. The record is from RefSeq and is a predicted model, not a curated record. NCBI's taxonomy places the organism in Eukaryota, Metazoa, Chordata, Mammalia, Rodentia, Muridae.